Molecule: long non-coding RNA, 276 nt
Filed under: Panax ginseng (ginseng)
Lineage: Eukaryota; Viridiplantae; Streptophyta; Magnoliopsida; Apiales; Araliaceae
Description: long non-coding RNA (PGIN_LNC002702)
Source: RNAcentral
UAGAUGGUCGGCCAGUAAUACCCAUGCCUUAGAAUUUUAUGUGCCAAUGACUUGGCCGCCAUGUGAUCCCCGUAAAUCCCUUCGUGUACCUCCCGAAAUACAUAAUUCACUUCUGACGGUGUUAAACAUUUGAGUAAUGGAGAGCUGAAGGCCCUUCGGUACAAAUCUCCAUCGAUGAGUACAAAGUUUGAACUUCUGUGCUUGAUCUUCCUUGCUAGGAUGCGAUCCGAGGGCAGUACCCCAUCUGCCAAGUAGAAGAUGUAGGCUGUGAGCAGC